This 72-nucleotide transfer RNA is filed under the name Marmota monax (woodchuck). It matches the Rfam family "tRNA". From Rfam's summary of the family: Transfer RNA (tRNA) molecules are approximately 80 nucleotides in length. Their secondary structure includes four short double-helical elements and three loops (D, anti-codon, and T loops). Further hydrogen bonds mediate the characteristic L-shaped molecular structure. tRNAs have two regions of fundamental functional importance: the anti-codon, which is responsible for specific mRNA codon recognition, and the 3' end, to which the tRNAs corresponding amino acid is attached (by aminoacyl-tRNA synthetases). tRNAs cope with the degeneracy of the genetic code in two manners: having more than one tRNA (with a specific anti-codon) for a particular amino acid; and 'wobble' base-pairing, i.e. permitting non-standard base-pairing at the 3rd anti-codon position. The record is from Rfam by way of RNAcentral. Lineage: Eukaryota; Metazoa; Chordata; Mammalia; Rodentia; Sciuridae. RNAcentral also lists the same sequence under 2 other names.
GGGGUUGUGGCUCAGCAGUAGAGCGCUCACCUAGCACGUGCGAAGCCUUGGGUUCGAUCCUCAGCAGCACAU